This 257-nucleotide unclassified non-coding RNA is filed under the name uncultured Actinomycetes bacterium. RNAcentral's name for it is "uncultured actinobacterium contains 16S-23S intergenic spacer region". The record is from RNAcentral. Lineage: Bacteria; Bacillati; Actinomycetota; Actinomycetes.
UCCGGCUUGUCGCCGGCGGUCCCUCUAGAGCACCCGCUUUCACGGGUUUCACCCUGCAUGUCAAGCCCAGGUAAGGUUCUUCGCGUCGCAUCGAAUUAAGCCGCAUGCUCCGCCGCUUGUGCGGGCCCCCGUCAAUUCCUUUGAGUUUUAGCCUUGCGGCCGUACUCCCCAGGCGGGGUGCUUAAUGCGUUAGCUUCGGCACGGAUGGGGUCGAUGUCCACCCACACCUAGCACCCAACGUUUACGGCUAGGACUAC